CCUACGGGAGGCAGCAGUGGGGGAUAUUGCACAAUGGGGGAAACCCUGAUGCAGCGACGCCGCGUGUGGGAAGACGGUCCUCUGGAUUGUAAACCACUGGCCCCAGGGACGAAGAUGACGGUACCGGGGGAGGAAGCGCCGGCUAACUACGUGCCAGCAGCCGCGGUAAGACGUAGGGAGCGAGCGUUGUCCGGAAUUACUGGGGGUAAAGGGAGCGUAGACGGCGAGGCAAGUCGGAAGUGAAAGGCGGGGGCCCAACCCCCGGACUGCUUUGGAAACUGUAUGGCUGGAGUGCAGGAGAGGUCAGUGGACUUCCUCGUGUAGCGGUGAAAUGCGUAGAUAUUAGGAGGACCACCAGUGGCGAAGGCGGCUUACUGGACUGUACCUGACGUUGCGGCUCGAACGCGUGGGGAGCAAACAGGAUUAGAUCCCCGAGUAGUC
This 441-nucleotide ribosomal RNA is filed under the name uncultured bacterium. RNAcentral describes it as "partial 16S ribosomal RNA". It matches the Rfam family "Bacterial small subunit ribosomal RNA", at positions 338 to 795 of the family's 1533-position model. The record is from RNAcentral.